UGGUGGAGUGAUUUGUCUGGUUAAUUCCGUUAACGAACGAGACCUCGACCUGCUAAAUAGUUUGGCGAACCUCCGGGUUCGUGCUGACUUCUCAGAGGGACUAUCGGUGUGUAGCCGAUGGAAGUUCGAGGCAAUAACA
This 139-nucleotide ribosomal RNA is filed under the name uncultured eukaryote. Its description in RNAcentral is "partial 18S ribosomal RNA". It matches the Rfam family "Eukaryotic small subunit ribosomal RNA", at positions 1299 to 1458 of the family's 1831-position model. The record is from RNAcentral.